AAAGAAUGUAUCCAUGUUUAGUAGGUCUUAAAGGGGAGUGAAUGUAUCCAUGUUUAGUAGGUCUUAAAGCGGAGUGAAUGUAUCCAUGUUUAACAAGUCUUACAGCGGAAAGAAUGUAUCCAUGUUUAGUAGGUCUUAAAGGGGAGUGAAUGUAUCCAUGUUUAGUAGGUCUUAAAGGGGAGUGAAGGUAUCCAUGUUUAGUAGGUCUUAAAGCGGAGUGAAUGUAUCCAUGUUUAACAAGUCUUACAGCGGAAAGAAUGUAUCCAUGUUUAGUAGGUCUUAAAGGGGAGUGAAGGUAUCCAUGUUUUAUAGGUCUUAAAGGGGAGUGAAUGUAUCCAUGUUUUAUAGGUCUUAAAGCGGAG
Oncorhynchus tshawytscha (Chinook salmon) is the source of this 362-nucleotide long non-coding RNA. The record is from Ensembl. Lineage: Eukaryota; Metazoa; Chordata; Actinopteri; Salmoniformes; Salmonidae.